GGCGAACGCUGGCGGCGUGCUUAACACAUGCAAGUCGAACGGAAAGGCCCUGCUUUUGUGGGGUGCUCGAGUGGCGAACGGGUGAGUAACACGUGAGUAACCUGCCCUUGACUUUGGGAUAACUUCAGGAAACUGGGGCUAAUACCGGAUAGGAGCUCCUGCUGCAUGGUGGGGGUUGGAAAGUUUCGGCGGUUGGGGAUGGACUCGCGGCUUAUCAGCUUGUUGGUGGGGUAGUGGCUUACCAAGGCUUUGACGGGUAGCCGGCCUGAGAGGGUGACCGGCCACAUUGGGACUGAGAUACGGCCCAGACUCCUACGGGAGGCAGCAGUGGGGAAUAUUGCACAAUGGGCGGAAGCCUGAUGCAGCAACGCCGCGUGCGGGAAGACGGCCUUCGGGUUGUAAACCGCUUUCGCCUGUGACGAAGCGUGAGUGACGGUAAUGGGUAAAGAAGCACCGGCUAACUACGUG
Molecule: ribosomal RNA, 468 nt
Filed under: uncultured bacterium
Lineage: Bacteria
Description: partial 16S ribosomal RNA
Rfam family: Bacterial small subunit ribosomal RNA
Source: RNAcentral